This is a non-coding RNA of Caerostris darwini, 108 nucleotides long. NCBI's taxonomy places the organism in Eukaryota, Metazoa, Arthropoda, Arachnida, Araneae, Araneidae. The record is from the annotation of a GenBank genome assembly.
AACGGCCAUACCAUGCUGAAUAUACCGGUUCUCGUUAGAUCACCGAAGUCAAGCAUCAUUGGGCGCGGUCAGUACUUGGGUGGGUGACCACCUGGGAACACCGCGUGC